Long non-coding RNA from Salvelinus fontinalis (brook trout), 3953 nucleotides. RefSeq lists it as uncharacterized. Lineage: Eukaryota; Metazoa; Chordata; Actinopteri; Salmoniformes; Salmonidae. The record is from RefSeq and is a predicted model, not a curated record. The transcript is spliced from 2 exons.
AGACUGAAUGUUCAUUAGUUGCAUUAUUGCAGUGAGUUAGACAGGCCAUGCAGUCCGGCCCAAGCGGCAGAAACAACACGGUUUCAUGAUAUAGUCAGUUUGCCUUGGAGCAUUUCAAACCAAACAAGUUUUCUAGUCAGUGAGGAAAAAAAACAUUUGGGGAAAGUUCAGCUAAUCCAACCUUGUCAUUUAUGAGUUUGGUCACAGAACUGUAUGUAAGCCUAAGUAUGGUUUUAACAAGUAAUUCAACUUUUGCCUUUGAUUAAGCCCUGACAAUAGCCUAUAAUAUUAAACUAGGCUAUAAAGUACAUCUGAAUGAGCUAACAACCUCUUUCAGUGUAUAGGAUAGCCUAGAUAUUAUUGAAUGAUUAAUAAUCUUGUCGUAAUUCACUCUAUGGCUAGUCAUAGUCUCACACCUCAGGAGGAGAUAUCCAAACAGUGCUAAAUGUUAUUAUUAUCCUUUACGUCCAAUAUCCUCCAACCAAUGUUCCCUCUCAUUUUUUGGGGCACUGAGCAAAUUUGAAGUCUUGAACGCUGUGAAAUUUCUGUGGAACUUCAAGCGCGUUUACUGUGAGCACUGAGGCUGUACCCACUUUACAGAUACAGUUUCAGACAGUGGUCAAGUAGGCUACUGUGGUUAUUUGAUCAUAAUGUAGGCCUACCAUCAAAAACAAUGGAGAAAAGUCAUCCCAUAACAUUUUAACAUGGAAAUAGCGGUUCUAUCAUUCAGCCUACAGAAGCAGCCAAUGUGUGGUGUUCAAUGUAUGCCUACAUUCCAUUAGACUUUUGAAUAGAAGAAUAGCCUGUUAAUCCACUUGUCCUUCAGACAAGGAGGUGACAGAAAAUAUUGUUGUGUUAUUGAUGAUGCAAGAAACCACUUUACAAAAUAAAAUGCAUUAUUAUUCCCAUACCAUUAUAACAGAGAAUCAGCCAAAUUAUGCUACCCUCUGCCUAUUGGCUACUUAGUUUAUUUAAGCCUGUCUCAAAAUACAACACUGCCCCUUUAAGACAAAAACAAACUCUUUACCCGACUCGCUUUUCAAAUAUGUCUAGAAAUGUACACACGUUUUGUGCUCUUGUAGGAAGCAAUCACUCUCCUAUUGCUGACUACAAAUUAUCUAUAACUGGUAUAAUAACUCACUAACUAGCAAAGGAUAUGAACAAAUGUGCACACGUGGCUACAUGCAGCUCUCACAUUGAUCUCAAAACAGGCGCAUCUACUCAUGCUGUAAACACAGUCCAGUUCAAAGUGAACGGCACAGAUCCAUAUAUGGCAAUGGUGUAUUUGCAUAUAGGCCUACUGCAGUUCUGAUUGGUUAUGCCACACCGGUCUGUGUAGAGGACUGGCUGAGUGAUUCGUGCCAAUGCAAUAGAAUCCUACUCAGAUGCGUUCUGCCUACAACAAAAUCUCUUACAUAGUUCGUUUUGCAUACUAAGUCAUGCACAGUUGGUUUUGUUUCGGUAUGUUCCAUUGAAAGUGGUUAAUAUUGCGUUGAUUCGAUCACAAAGUAAAGGGAACAUUGAUAGUGUUAACUGAAGGGGAAAACUCUAGAAAGUUGAGUGAAGUUGAAUCUCGUGCUUCUCUCCUCAGGCUGAUAUUUCUUCUGAGAGGCAGUCUCGGUCCCACCCACGCGCACAGCUUAAAGGGAACAACCCUAAUGAUCAGGGAAAUACAGUGAAGUACAGUUGGAAGCUGCAAUCAAGUGGAUCUAGAUAGGGGCUCUGUUGUCUUCUUACAGUGAGAUAUCCGUCAACUUUGCCACGGAGGCGCUCCCUCUCAUGCACACACCAUCUCCUCUCCAAGUCAAUUAGCAGUUACCUUGCACUCCACGUUAGCGCUAGCUAGCGUCUUGCUCUGGUGCUCACAUCAGGCCAGACCACUGGCGUGACAUGUCAACUCAGCGGAGCUGGUGGAAUAUUGAAGGUCCUCUUAAAGGUCCUCGUCUUGUCCCAGUUUAAUUAAAUGCAUAUUGCACGAUUGGCCUAUGGAGGAAUUCUUAUUUUGAUUUUGGCUGCAAUCAAAACAGGAAUAAUCAUAAUAGUAGUGACAAAUAGGAAAAUCUAUAAAACUUGAUUCUGAAGUAGUUUCCUCUGGUUCAUUAUAAAUCUCAUUAGAAGUGUUGUUGGAAGAGUUUGUGCUCUAGACUUUAAUCCUGACUCCUGUGCUCAUGCCUAUGCUGUAUUGCCGUGGUGGUAAACAACAUCUCUCACCCAGGCCACCUCUGUGCCCGAGACGAUUGUUUCUCUGUGGUGGCUGAACUAAACAGUGGUGAUGGCGCAUGGAGAGGAUGAGGUGGUGGUGGGGGGCUCAGUGUUAAUUAGCAGAGAGCUGCACAACAGGGGGCACACCACCUCAUUGAGGGUCACUUCAGCCGGCUCACAGAAAUCACAGUGGCUCACAGAAAUCACAGUGGCUCACAGAAAUCACAGUGCCUCACAGAAAUCACAGUGGCUGACAGAAAUCACAGUGGCUCACAGAAAUCACAGUGGCUGACAGAAAUCACAGUGGCUCACAGAAAUCACAGUGGCUCACAGAAAUCACAGUGGCUGACAGAAAUCACAGUGGCUGACAGAAAUCACAGUGGCUGACAGAAAUCACAGUGGCUGACAGAAAUCACAGUGGCUGACAGAAAUCACAGUGGCUGACAGAAAUCACAGUGGCUGACAGAAAUCACAGUGGCUGACAGAAAUCACAGUGGCUGACAGAAAUCAGUGGCUGACAGAAAUCACAGUGGCUGACAGAAAUCACAGUGGCUCACAGAAAUCACAGUGGCUGACAGAAAUCACAGUGGCUGACAGAAAUCACAGUGGCUGACAGAAAUCACAGUGGCUGACAGAAAUCACAGUGGCACUGCUGUUGCCGGACUCCCCCGCCCCGCAGCCCACCUUUAGCCCAUCACAGCCAAACAUGCGGCAGGCAACUACCUCCCGUGGCACUAGUCUCAAAUAGCAUGAAUGGAGAGAGGAAUGGAUAGCCUAUGAGAGAUGAGCCAAACUUGCUGAAACUGGAGGCCAGUAACACUGGCAUGCACUGACUACAAUUUUCUGGUGAUAACUUAACCCGGUAGAAUGGUGACAUAUGUCACAAGAUUACCUUAAAAUCUGCUUUAGUUCCUUAUGUCAUUGAUCUAUUCUGUUCUGGUCUUGAAUGUGCUUUAUUGUGUAGGUGGAAAGAUGCUGUGCAACAUUUGUUUGAUUUUCAUUUAAAGUUCAUUCACAUGCCCCAUACUGUUUAUUGUCAGCUUAUGCAACCUAAUCAUAAUUACAUGUAUGGUUGCCCUGGACAAUGCCUGGUAUGGAAUUCAUGCUCUGCACAAAUUAUAGCGAUUCGAUGGAUGCUCUGUACAUGUAUCUUUUUGUCCCAUCAAAGCACUUCUAGUUAUUUUAACAUGUCUAGUGUUUGUUGACUCCUAUUGUCUCUGUGUCCUGUUAAAAUGUAUUUAAUGUCUUUACUCAAUUGUGGGACUUGUCUUUUUUUGUUAGUCAUUUUUGGGUCAUGAUUACGGUCUUGUCUCAUUGCUGAAACUCCCAAACGGGCUCGGGAGAGGCGAAGGACGAGUCAUGCAUCAUCAGUCUAAACAUGACCCACCAAGCCAUGCUUCUUAACACCCGCUCGUUUAACCCAGAAGCCAGCUGCACCAAUGUGUCGGAGGAAACACCAUUUUUUUUGUGUGUAUGAACACCAGGUAGGUUAGCUGUCAUCAUGGCGUCAGCUAAUGGGAAUCCCAAUAAAUAAUAAACUUGUUCUUGUAGUACUAGGGCUGUGACGGUCACAAAAUUUUGUCAGCCGGUGAUUGUCAAGAAAAUAACUGUCGGUCUCACGAUAAUUGACAGCUAAUUAACAUAAACACAUAGCAUCUCCUGGCUUCCACACAUAGCCUACAAGCCACCGAUGCCGAUCUUUGGAACAUGUACAUUUUUAAAAGUCUAAUAAAUCCAUGUAAUAUAGCCUA